Molecule: long non-coding RNA, 797 nt
Organism: Pistacia vera
Lineage: Eukaryota; Viridiplantae; Streptophyta; Magnoliopsida; Sapindales; Anacardiaceae
Exons: 2
Source: RefSeq, a predicted model, not a curated record
AAAAUGAGAAGGCAGUUACUUGGAAAUUCAGCAGAAAAUCCAGUAGAACAGACUUAUAAACUCUAAUCUCACUGUACUAUUUAACCCAUUCAACAAUCAAAAUCUCAUCUCCUGUCUAUUUUUUUUUAUCAAAUCAAAGUAUUUCAUACAUUUUUUAGGAACAAGUGUUUAAAUUUUGAAGGUGGGCGAAGAAAUGAUAACUCGUUCUAAACUCGUUGAGCAACUCCGAGACUACCAGAUCCGAUCUCAACACAAGUGUCCAGCUCUCAAUUUCUUCUCUCCUAAACCACUUCUUUCAUCCUGGGGUGAUGUUGCUGUGGCUGUCUUUUGGGCCUUAUUGUUUAGCAUGCUUGUCAUAUCAUCCUAUGUGGCUUUUUACUUCAGGCACUUCUGGAUUUCAUUCUUCAUUUUGUGCCUUAGUAUUUUCCUUCCACUACGCUUAAGAAGUUGUAGGCAGGCAGUUGCCAAGAAGAGGGAUAGGAGAUUGUUAUUACCGCUGUCCAUGUGAACCACCUGUUAUAGUAAAGUACUUGCAGCUAUAUGAUUGGGCUAACAAAAGGGCUCAUUACUCAUUUUAACUCAUGUGGCCUCUACUAAUCAAUUAUAGAGCAUGGAGCGCUAAUCUUGGUCAACGGGCCCUAAACCCGCCUCUCUGAGAUGGAUGGUACAGUUCCUUCCUACUCCUCCUUAACCAUACACUAAAGGCAUGAGAAUUUGCAAAAACUCCCGUUUCUGACAUGUAUACGCUAUAUAUUUGAGCCAACUUAAGAGGCACUACCUGUUAGUUUUUCCUUUCA